UACGUAGGGGGCAAGCGUUAUCCGGAUUUACUGGGUGUAAAGGGAGCGUAGACGGAAUGGCAAGUCUGAUGUGAAAGGCGGGGGCUCAACCCCUGGACUGCAUUGGAAACUGCCAGUCUUGAGUACCGGAGGGGUAAGCGGAAUUCCUAGUGUAGCGGUGAAAUGCGUAGAUAUUAGGAGGAACACCAGUGGCGAAGGCGGCUUACUGGACGACAACUGACGCUGAGGCUCGAAAGCGUGGGGAGCAAACAGG
RNAcentral lists this ribosomal RNA (253 nucleotides) under uncultured bacterium. RNAcentral describes it as "partial 16S ribosomal RNA". It matches the Rfam family "Bacterial small subunit ribosomal RNA", at positions 524 to 776 of the family's 1533-position model. The record is from RNAcentral.